UAGAUAAAUUUUAUAUGGUUUAAUUAAAUUUAUUUUGUAUUUAUUUUACAUAUAAAUUUUAGUAUGAGUAAUUCUUUAUUUUAAUAAUAUUAAUUAUGUUUGUAGUAAUUAAUAUUAAAUAUUUAGGAAAUUAAGAUUUAGUAAUAUAUAAAUUAUUAACAAAUUUUGUGCCAGCAGUUGCGGUUAUACAAAAAUUAAAUUAAAUUUUUUUAGUGAUUAAUAAUUAAUUUAAAAAUUUGUUUAAAUUAAAAUUAAAAUUAUUAGGUGAAAUUUUAAUUUUAUAUUAUUUUAUUUUUAUUAAUAUGAUUUAAUAAAUUUUAUUAAUAAACUAGGAUUAGAUACCCUAUUAUUAAAAAUUUAAAUUUAUAAUACUAAAAUAGUAUGUAAUUUUAUUGAAACUUAAAUAUUUUGGCGGUAUUUUAGUUUAUUUAGAGGAAUCUGUUUAUUAAUUGAUAUUCCACGAAUAAAUUUACUUAAUUUAUUAUUUUGUAUAUCGUUGUUAAAAAAAUAUUUUUUAAUAAUUUAUAUAAUAUUUUAAUAUUAAUAUUUAAAAUUAAAUCAAAUCAAGAUGCAGAUUAUAAUUAAGAAUAUAAUGGAUUACAAUAAAUUUAUUUAAAUGAAUUAUUAUUUUGUAAAAUUUAAUUGAAAGUGGAUUUAAAUGUAAUUUUGUUUAAUUUAAUAAAAUGAUUAAAAUUUAAAAUAUGUACAUAUUGCCCGUCGCUUUCAUAAAUAAAUUGGAAUAAGUCGUAACAAAGUAGAGGUACUGGAAAGUGUUUCUAGAAAGAUC
RNAcentral lists this non-coding RNA (787 nucleotides) under Biston thibetaria. Lineage: Eukaryota; Metazoa; Arthropoda; Insecta; Lepidoptera; Geometridae. The record is from RNAcentral.